GGACUUUGUGGUGUAAAACACGUCAGACUGCAAAUCUGAAGAUGUGGGUUAACCCCCACCCAGACCU
RNAcentral lists this transfer RNA (67 nucleotides) under Pisodonophis cancrivorus (longfin snake-eel). RNAcentral's name for it is "tRNA-Cys". It matches the Rfam family "tRNA". From Rfam's summary of the family: Transfer RNA (tRNA) molecules are approximately 80 nucleotides in length. Their secondary structure includes four short double-helical elements and three loops (D, anti-codon, and T loops). The record is from RNAcentral. Lineage: Eukaryota; Metazoa; Chordata; Actinopteri; Anguilliformes; Ophichthidae.